CUGAAAACCAAAGCUGUCAGUAACCAAUAGUAUUUUUUCAGAGCAAAGGGUGCCGGAAACUUCUCCAGAAGCAACUACCCUGUAGAUCCGAAUUUGUCUAUGUUAUCUACAAAUUUAACUCUACAUGGUUUUUGCUAAAUAUUUAUCAUCAGUCUACCCGCCACAGAUAUAAACAACACGAAGAUCAAUGACUCAGCAGAUUUGGCGGCAAAUGCCGCCAAUGACGAAGCAAGAAAAUUCUCCAAGUUAGAUGUCAAAAAUUCCGCAAAUGUAGUGCAAAAUGCACAAAAUGAAAGUGAAAUUGUAUUGAGUGUAUGUGCAAUGUGUAAUUUUGAUCUUUGACCGUUGGAAGGUCAAGUGAUUUAUGGUUCACAGCUUUGACACUGGACAAAAUAUUUGAAAGCCGGUGUACUAGACGGAGCUCUGAGGGUAGAAUGUCUGCGUUAAGCCACUCGAGGAUCUACUUUUCACCCGAUUUGAACUCUGGUGUUAAAUUUCCUAUCACGAGACCAAAAGAGAACUCAGAAGAACAAGUUCAAUAAUCGAGCACAGACAAAACACUACCUGAAAAUCUACCGCAACCCUUCUGAUCUGAAAUCGGUCAACUGUAUGCGAGCGGUUAACUCUCAAUGUUAGCCUUCCUCGCAUUCAUAUUUCAGCAAAUUUUUGUUUAUUGUUUAACUCGGGUUGUUUUUUAAAUGUUUGGAUUAAUUAGAUUCCCAAUAGACUUAAAAUUAUACAACCUUGAUAUGUGUUCAUAUCAACUCAGCUUAUCGAAAUUACAUGCGUCUAGCAGACUGAUCUCGGAAUCCACUAUGUUCACUUCUGAUUUCUUACGGAUUUAUACGAACCUAAUAAGGCUCUCUUAAUAAGGAAAUGCCAAAUUUUUUUUUUUUUGCAUUUACUGAUGUAAACUAUGUAAAACGUCUCUGUUUAAUGAGACACAUAGAAUUUAAUAUCUUGAAUAGUUUAACUGUAACACUAGCUAUAAAUAAAAUAUAGCAAUAUUAUAUUGUAAAUGCCUUU
This is a long non-coding RNA of Eurytemora carolleeae, 1026 nucleotides long. RefSeq lists it as uncharacterized. Lineage: Eukaryota; Metazoa; Arthropoda; Copepoda; Calanoida; Temoridae. The record is from RefSeq and is a predicted model, not a curated record. The transcript has 3 exons.